AUGCUUACCUGGCAGGGGAGACACCAUGAUCACAAAGGUGGUUUUUCCAGGGCAAAGCUUGUCCAUUGCACUCCGAAUGUGCUGACCCUUGCAAUUUCCCCAAAUGUGGGAAACUCGACUGCAUACUUCGUGGUAGUGGGGGACUGUGUUUGCACCUUCCCCUC
Molecule: small nuclear RNA, 164 nt
Organism: Choloepus hoffmanni (Hoffmann's two-fingered sloth)
Lineage: Eukaryota; Metazoa; Chordata; Mammalia; Pilosa; Megalonychidae
Gene: U1
Rfam family: U1 spliceosomal RNA
About the family: U1 is a small nuclear RNA (snRNA) component of the spliceosome (involved in pre-mRNA splicing). Its 5' end forms complementary base pairs with the 5' splice junction, thus defining the 5' donor site of an intron. There are significant differences in sequence and secondary structure between metazoan and yeast U1 snRNAs, the latter being much longer (568 nucleotides as compared to 164 nucleotides in human).
Source: Ensembl